This 485-nucleotide ribosomal RNA is filed under the name uncultured bacterium. RNAcentral's name for it is "partial 16S ribosomal RNA". It matches the Rfam family "Bacterial small subunit ribosomal RNA", at positions 30 to 507 of the family's 1533-position model. The record is from RNAcentral.
AUUGAACGCUGGCGGCAGGCUUAACACAUGCAAGUCGAGCGGGGAGAUGUAGCUUGCUACAUAUCCUAGCGGCGGACGGGUGAGUAAUGCUUAGGAAUCUGCCUAUUAGUGGGGGACAACAUUCCGAAAGGAAUGCUAAUACCGCAUACGCCCUACGGGGGAAAGCAGGGGAUCUUCGGACCUUGCGCUAAUAGAUGAGCCUAAGUCGGAUUAGCCAGUUGGUGGGGUAAAGGCCUACCAAGGCGACGAUCUGUAGCGGGUCUGAGAGGAUGAUCCGCCACACUGGGACUGAGACACGGCCCAGACUCCUACGGGAGGCAGCAGUGGGGAAUAUUGGACAAUGGGCGCAAGCCUGAUCCAGCCAUGCCGCGUGUGUGAAGAAGGCCUUUUGGUUGUAAAGCACUUUAAGCGAGGAGGAGGCUCCUUUAGUUAAUACCUAAAGAGAGUGGACGUUACUCGCAGAAUAAGCACCGGCUAACUCUGUG